Molecule: long non-coding RNA, 921 nt
Filed under: Helianthus annuus (common sunflower)
Lineage: Eukaryota; Viridiplantae; Streptophyta; Magnoliopsida; Asterales; Asteraceae
Description: sRNA HanXRQr2_Chr11g0501221
Source: RNAcentral
AAAAUUUUAUUCAUCAUAGCAAGGUGCUAUACACCAUAAUUACAAAGUACACCAAAUUAUACUAGAUUACACAAACAAUUUAGCCAAAUAAAUUAAACCUACACCAAUUUUCCCAUGUGAGCUCCGCCUCCCUUGAUCGAUUUUUAAUCCAUAGAUACGCCAUAGAUCUCACUUCAUCCAGUACUUUAGUCGUAUUUGGAAUAGCUUGUCCAAAUACACUAUCAUUCCUUGUUUUCCAAAUGCUCAUGUUUUGUUUUGUUGUACAUGAAAAGCGACUACCCAAUCGCCACAAACCCACGCACGUUGUUCAAAUGAACGAUACUUGAAAACGUGAAAACGCAUUGAAGCAUUAAGCGGUAAUUAAAUUGUUGUCGAUUCAUUGGUGAGACGGUAUGAAAAUACGAUAUCAAACAAAUGCAGAUUGCAAAUAGCGAAAAAGAGAAAACAUAACAGAUGAUAUAUAAUAUAAUCGAACAUAUGCAAGAAAAUAUCAUCAAAAGUCAUUUACUAGAAAACAAACAUGCAAGAAAAUUAGAUUAUGAACAUAAAUAAAAAAAGCCCCUUGGUCAUGAUUUUCCAUCCAUUCUCUUCUAAACGUCAACAUCACACCCUUUAUCAAACGGUUGCUUAUCGAUCGAACCGAUGAUGUUACUAUUAUUCGCGUUGCCAAACACAAUAUACGCAGGGCACUUUACUUUCACCAGAUGUCGAAAUCGAAUAUAUCCAGAUUUUGAUCUUAAACGUCCCGUGAGUUUAACAUGAAUCAACACCGUCCCAGCUGUCACGUCUUGGACCAAAGACACAACAAGAUCAGGGUUCUUCACGGGGACUUGAGUUCCGUUGAGGUAAGGAGACCAAAUGGUGUUGUCCGGCUUGUUGCCUAGGUACAACGGAGGAAGCACUGUUGGUGGUGUGAUCUGU